CUGUAAGCCUGCGAAGGUGGCUUGUAAAGGCUGCUGGAGGUAUCAGAAGUGCGAAUGCUGACAUGAGUAGCGAUAAAGAGGGUGAAAAGCCCUCUCGCCGUAAGUCCAAGGUUUCCUGCGCAACGUUCAUCGGCGCAGGGUGAGUCGGCCCCUAAGGCGAGGCAGAGAUGCGUAGCUGAUGGGAAGCUGGUUAAUAUUCCAGCACCGUCGUACAGUGCGAUGGGGGGACGGAUUGCGGAAGAUCAUCAGGGUGUUGGAUGUCCCUGUUGACGCAUCGAAGAUGGCGCUUAGGCAAAUCCGGGCGCGUAAAUCAAGGGUGUGGCACGAGCGAGCAUUGCUUGCGAAGUGAUUGGAAGUGGUUCCAAGAAAAGCCUCUAAGCUUCAGCUGUACGAGACCGUACCGCAAACCGACACAGGUGGACGGGAUGAAUAUUCCAAGGCGCUUGAGAGAACUCAGGAGAAGGAACUCGGCAAAUUGAUACCGUAACUUCGGGAGAAGGUAUACCCCGGUAGUGUGAAGCGCCUGCGCGCUUAGCAUGAUGGGGUCGCAGAGAAUCGGUGGCUGCGACUGUUUAUUAAAAACACAGCACUCUGCAAAGACGAAAGUCGACGUAUAGGGUGUGACGCCUGCCCGGUGCCGGAAGGUUAAGUGAUGGGGUGCAAGCUCUUGAUCGAAGCCCCGGUAAACGGCGGCCGUAACAAUAACGGUCCUAAGGUAGCGAAAUUCCUUGUCGGGUAAGUUCCGACCCGCACGAAAGGCGUAACGAUCUGGGCGCUGUCUCGGAGAGAGACUCGGCGAAAUAGAAUUGUCUGUGAAGAUACGGACUACCUGCACCCGGACAGAAAGACCCUAUGAAGCUUUACUGUAGCCUGGAAUUGGGUUCGGGCUUCGCUUGCGCAGGAUAGGUGGGAGGCUGUGAAGAAUUCCUUGUGGGGGAUUCUGAGCCAUCGGUGAGAUACCACUCUGGCGAAGCUAGAAUUCUAACCUUUUCCCGUUAUCCGGGAAAGAGACAGUUUCAGGGGGGCAGUUUGACUGGGGCGGUCGCCUCCUAAAUGGUAACGGAGGCGCGCAAGGGUUCCCUCAGGCUGGUUGGAAAUCAGCCGUAGAGUGCAAAGGCAUAAGGGAGCUUGACUGCAAGACCUACAAGUCGAGCAGGGACGAAAGUCGGCCUUAGUGAUCCGACGGUGCUGCGUGGAAAGGCCGUCGCUCAACGGAUAAAAGUUACUCUAGGAUAACAGGCUGAUCUCCCCCAAGAGUUCACAUCGACGGGGAGGUUUGGCACCUCGAUGUCGGCUCA
Molecule: ribosomal RNA, 1298 nt
Filed under: Achromobacter sp. HZ01
Lineage: Bacteria; Pseudomonadati; Pseudomonadota; Betaproteobacteria; Burkholderiales; Alcaligenaceae
Description: bacterial LSU rRNA
Rfam family: Bacterial large subunit ribosomal RNA
Source: RNAcentral